RNA transcript from Ricinus communis (castor bean), 1384 nucleotides. RefSeq lists it as uncharacterized. NCBI's taxonomy places the organism in Eukaryota, Viridiplantae, Streptophyta, Magnoliopsida, Malpighiales, Euphorbiaceae. The record is from RefSeq and is a predicted model, not a curated record. The transcript is spliced from 8 exons.
AUAAAAAAGUAAAAAUAGACAAACGGGACGUACAAAAGUAAAGAGAGAACAAAAUAGCAGCCAAUCUAUAAUUUCCUCAAAAAUCAAAAUGGUAUAAAAAAUCGGAUCGGAACCGGCGCGAAACCUAAAUGGGACGGGACCGUUUCAGGUGCUGUCCGAGGUUCACGGGAGACCCCUGCGUGUAACUGUAAGCAAGAAGAAAGGGAAGUCAGUUUCGAAAGUGAAGAGGUGAAAACAGAAAUGGAAGUUGCAGAAGUAGAGCAACUACUCAGGAUUUUAGAUUCUUCUCUUUCUCACAUCAAAUGGCGCCUCAAAUCUCAUGCCAAGCAUCGUCUUCAAAUAGAUGUUCUAGCAUUGUGUACAGAGAUGAGGCCAGUGAUUAUGGUUGACUAUGGUGGAAAGAUGCCUGAAUUGCAGGAGCAUCUGUGUGCACUUCUUAGACUCUGUCAACAGGAGUCACCUAUCUUUGAGCAUUUGAAAGUGAUGAUUAUAGAAGAUAUGAUAUAUUUGAUACAUGUAAAAGGACUUGUGGAGUAUGUCAAGUCAAGCUUGAACUCUGAAGUAGAUCUAGUCUUUGUGAACCUAGAACAAGAUCCUCCAAAGAUGGUAACACAGGCGGAAAAUAGCUCACUAAAUGCAGCACUUGUAAGAGUCCAGAAGUUAUUCUCCUUGUAUUUGCCUGUCAAUGAGAAUGUCUCGCCGUGCCACUUGACAGAGACUGCUGCUAAUGCUUCAGAUAAUGUGGCAAAUGCUGCAGAUAGUGUGGCAAAUGCUGCAGAUAGUGUGGCUAGUGCUGAAUCCUCUAUCAAUAAGCCUAUAAUUUCUCAAUCCUCUGAAUUUAUUGAUUUCAGCAGUUGCAUGCAGGACAGUGAGGUCACUGUGCCAACUUUAAAUGGAUGGCUUCUUGGUUAUCCGGUAGUGUAUCUAUUCAGCAAGGAGCAUAUUGCAGAUGCCAUAUAUAAUCUUUCCACCAAGUAUCUUCGCAUCUUCCAAAUUUUAGUCUCCAGGAAUAUUUCACCCAAUAAAGCAUCGCGACCUGAAGAAUUGAUGAGGAUGAAAUUGUGAUAUAAGAGAAGUGGGUCUGAGACAUUGGCACUGGUGAAAUUGUGAUAUAAGAGAAGUGGAUCUGAGGUGCUAUAUAUUUGCAUCGGUUAUCCUGUUCUUUGCCCGACUUGAUGGGGCAGGAGAAGUCAGAAAUUCCAGUCACCCAUCUUAUUGCCAUCCUGGUCGUACCUCUUUAAAUUGGGAUCUAAUUUUAAUUUUUGAAUGAUUCAAGGACAUGGGGUUGCUACCUGAUCCUUUCUCGGUGCCAUAUGAACUGAGCAUGGGAGGAAGCAAGGAACCAUGGGCAGAGGCAUUUUUGGCUCAAAUGCAAUCAAGGUGG